This 341-nucleotide ribosomal RNA is filed under the name uncultured Pseudomonadota bacterium. RNAcentral describes it as "bacterial SSU rRNA". It matches the Rfam family "Bacterial small subunit ribosomal RNA", at positions 29 to 351 of the family's 1533-position model. Lineage: Bacteria; Pseudomonadati; Pseudomonadota. The record is from RNAcentral.
AACGAACGCUGGCGGCGUGCCUAACACAUGCAAGUCGAACGAGAAAGCCGUAGCAAUACGGUGAGUAAAGUGGCGCACGGGUCAGUAACACGUGGAUAAUCAACCUCCGGGAGGGGCACAACCUGUCGAAAGAUGGGCUAAUACCCCGUAAGACCACGAGAUCCUUGGAUUUUGAGGUAAAAGGUGGCCUCUACUUGUAAGCCAUCGCCUGGAGACGAGUCCGCGCACCAUUAGCUAGUUGGUAGGGUAACGGCCUACCAAGGCCAAGAUGGUUAGCUGGUCUGAGAGGACGACCAGCGACACUGGAACUGAGACACGGUCCAGACUCCUACGGGUGGCAG